Molecule: ribosomal RNA, 485 nt
Filed under: uncultured bacterium
Lineage: Bacteria
Description: bacterial SSU rRNA
Rfam family: Bacterial small subunit ribosomal RNA
Source: RNAcentral
UCAGGAUGAACGCUGGCGGCGUGCCUAACACAUGCAAGUCGAACGAGCGAGAGAUGAAACCUAGUGAUUCUCGAGCGAGUGGCGGACGGGUGAGUAACGCGUGGGUAACCUGCCUUACAGAGGGGGAUAACAGUCUGAAAAGACUGCUAAUACCGCAUAAGCACACAGUACCGCAUGGUACAGGGUGAAAAGAUUUAUCACUGUAAGAUGGACCCGCGUCUGAUUAGCCAGUUGGCAGGGUAACGGCCUACCAAAGCGACGAUCAGUAGCCGACCUGAGAGGGUGAUCGGCCACAUUGGGACUGAGACACGGCCCAAACUCCUACGGGAGGCAGCAGUGGGGGAUAUUGCACAAUGGAGGAAACUCUGAUGCAGCGAACCGCCGCGUGAGUGAAGAAGUAUUUCGGUAUGUAAAGCUCUAUCAGCAGGGAAGAUAAUGACAGUACCUGACCAAGAAGCCCCGGCUAACUACGUGCCAGCAGCUGC